RNAcentral lists this ribosomal RNA (305 nucleotides) under uncultured bacterium. RNAcentral describes it as "bacterial SSU rRNA". It matches the Rfam family "Bacterial small subunit ribosomal RNA", at positions 337 to 634 of the family's 1533-position model. The record is from RNAcentral.
GCCUACGGGGGGCAGCAGUAGGGAAUCUUCGGCAAUGGGGGCAACCCUGACCGAGCAACGCCGCGUGAGGGAUGAAGGUCUUCGGAUCGUAAACCUCUGUCAGCAGGGAAGAACGGUCACUGUGCUAAUCAGCAGUGAAUUGACGGUACCUGCAAAGGAAGCACCGGCUAACUCCGUGCCAGCAGCCGCGGUAAUACGGAGGGUGCGAGCGUUAAUCGGAAUUACUGGGCGUAAAGCGCUCGUAGGCGGUAUGUCCAGUCAAGGGUGACAUCCCCGCGCUCAACGUGGGAACUGCCUUUGAAACU